UACGUAGGGGGCAAGCGUUGUCCGGAUUUACUGGGUGUAAAGGGCGUGUAGGCGGGUAAGUAAGUUGGAUGUGAAAUACCACGGCUCAACCGUGGGGCUGCAUCCAAAACUAUUUAUCUUGAGUGCUGGAGAGGAAAGCGGAAUUCCUAGUGUAGCGGUGAAAUGCGUAGAUAUUAGGAGGAACACCAGUGGCGAAGGCGGCUUUCUGGACAGUAACUGACGCUGAGGCGCGAAAGCGUGGGGAGCAAACAGG
This 253-nucleotide ribosomal RNA is filed under the name uncultured prokaryote. RNAcentral describes it as "partial 16S ribosomal RNA". It matches the Rfam family "Bacterial small subunit ribosomal RNA", at positions 524 to 776 of the family's 1533-position model. The record is from RNAcentral.